Molecule: long non-coding RNA, 800 nt
Filed under: Mytilus galloprovincialis (Mediterranean mussel)
Lineage: Eukaryota; Metazoa; Mollusca; Bivalvia; Mytilida; Mytilidae
Source: RNAcentral
GGGUCAUCUGAUAUAUCAAAUUGAAGGUCUUAAUAAACUCUACUUAAAAAUGAAAUUUUAAACCCCCUUUUCAUCCCAGGGGACGGGUGGGUCAUUUAGUGCAAACAUUCAAAUUUCUCAGAUGGUAAGGUUGUCGCAUAUCAAAUGAAAGAACAUAAAGCGUACAUUUCAAAUUUCAAAUUGACGUCUCCCAAAAAUGGGUUGGAUGGGGUCAUUGAGUGCCAAAAAUAAAGGUAGGGUCGUUGUAUAUCAAAUGAAAGGUCAUGAUGUGUACAUUUGAAAUAUCAAAUUCCCGACCUCCAAAAAUUAGUUGGAUAGGGUUAUUAAGUGCAAAAAUCAAUCUUUCUAGAAUAUGGUGUUGUCGCAUAUCAAAUGAAAGCUCAUCUACUCUGUUCCAUAUAUCAUAAUUCCGAUCUCAAAAAUGUAGGCGGAUGAGGUCAUUAUGUGUAAAAAAGCGAAAAGUUUCAGAAGGUAUGCUUGUCGUAUAUCAAACGAAAGGUCGUACAAAGUACAAUACGAAAACAUCACUUUUACAGGAAAGACCUUUCAAUUGUUUUACAAACAAUUGAGAUACUAGUUUUAUUAUCUUUUUUUAAAAAGCAUAAUAUAAAUACAUUAUGGCAAGGCUCGUAAGGUAAUAAUGUUUGUCCUAUUAUAAUUUGACACAUUAUAUCAUGUGUUUCAAAACUGAUUUAGGGUUAAUAAUAAAAAAUAUACUUGCCUAACAAUUAUUACUUUUCAUGGACACAAAAAAAAAAUGUCACAAGGCGUGGCCACUCUCGCCAAUUUUGAUACCCAAC